This 470-nucleotide ribosomal RNA is filed under the name uncultured Psychrobacter sp. RNAcentral's name for it is "bacterial SSU rRNA". It matches the Rfam family "Bacterial small subunit ribosomal RNA", at positions 60 to 523 of the family's 1533-position model. Lineage: Bacteria; Pseudomonadati; Pseudomonadota; Gammaproteobacteria; Moraxellales; Moraxellaceae. The record is from RNAcentral.
AGUCGAGCGGAAACGAUACCAGCUUGCUGGUAGGCGUCGAGCGGCGGACGGGUGAGUAAUACUUAGGAAUCUACCUAGUAGUGGGGGGUAGCUCGGGGAAACUCGAAUUAAUACCGCAUACGUCCUAUGGGAGAAAGGGGGCAACUUGUUGCUCUCGCUAUUAGAUGAGCCUAAGUCGGAUUAGCUAGAUGGUGGGGUAAAGGCCUACCAUGGCGACGAUCUGUAGCUGGUCUGAGAGGAUGAUCAGCCACGCCGGGACUGAGACACGGCCCGGACUCCUACGGGAGGCAGCAGUGGGGAAUAUUGGACAAUGGGGGGAACCCUGAUCCAGCCAUGCCGCGUGUGUGAAGAAGGCCUUUUGGUUGUAAAGCACUUUAAGCAGUGAAGAAGACCUAACGGUUAAUACCCGUUAGCGAUGACAUUAGCUGCAGAAUAAGCACCGGCUAACUCUGUGCCAGCAGCCGCGGUAA